GAUGAAGAACGUAGCGAAAUGCGAUAAGUAAUGUGAAUUGCAGAAUUCAGUGAAUCAUCGAAUCUUUGAACGCACAUUGCGCCCGCCAGUAUUCUGGCGGGCAUGCCUGUUCGAGCGUCAUUACAACCCUGAGGCCCCCGGGCCUGGCGUUGGGGAUCGGCGGAGCCCCCCGUGGGCACACGCCGUCCCCCAAAUACAGUGGCGGUCCCGCCGCAGCUUCCAUCGCGUAGUAGCUAACACCUCGCGACUGGAGAGCGGCGCGGCCACGCCGUAAAACACCCAACUCUUCUGAAGUUGACCUCGAAUCAGGUAGGAAUACCCGCUGAACUUAAGCAUAUCAAUAAGCGGAGGA
This 352-nucleotide unclassified non-coding RNA is filed under the name soil metagenome. Its description in RNAcentral is "partial contains 5.8S ribosomal RNA, internal transcribed spacer 2, and large subunit ribosomal RNA". The stretch from base 1 to 120 matches the Rfam family "5.8S ribosomal RNA", at positions 35 to 154 of the family's 154-position model. The record is from RNAcentral.